This is a long non-coding RNA of Phyllopteryx taeniolatus (common seadragon), 965 nucleotides long. RefSeq lists it as uncharacterized. The record is from RefSeq and is a predicted model, not a curated record. Lineage: Eukaryota; Metazoa; Chordata; Actinopteri; Syngnathiformes; Syngnathidae. The transcript has 2 exons.
GUGGGAGGGGGGUGUAGAGCUGGAGGCUGAGGAUGUAACAGGACCACCCCUCCCCAUCCUCUCCAUCUGACUGCGCCCAGCUCCUCAUCCUCAUCCUCAUCCUGCUGCAGCCUCAUUCGCUCCUAAAAAGAUGUUACGAUCCACAAUUCUGGUUGGAAUGCCUCGCCAGCUUCCCUGGAUUCAGUUGGGUAUGCAGCAGCAGCGACAACAACAAAAGGAUGUAGGUCCGGCGUCCGCAUCCCUGCCCUUCAGCAUCCGCAGCAUCCUCAUCCCUCCGGCGUUGGGCUCCGAGGACGGGCUAUUGCGCGCUCGGUAAGCCGCUCGAAAGCGCUCGAUCGUCGGACAAAGUCUCGCCCGCGUCGGCUUGCGCAGGCAUCCUUGCGGGAAAAGGGAAAAAGAAACAAAAAAAGAAAGAAAAAUCAAUCUGCGCCAUUCGCCUCGGAAGGGCAGACUGAAGAAUGAACCAGCUCGCUAGCUCCUCCUAAGGUCUAGUCGGGUACUACGUAACAAUUUGCGGCUAGCUGGUUAGCACGCUAAUGCCUGCAGUAACAUGGUGAAUAUUUGCUUUCAAAAUGCCUUCACCCACCACUGUUUAGUCACACUUAUAACAGUUAUAAAACAACCUUGUAUUAUUUUUUAUUAUUAUUUAAUAGAAAACACGAAGAAAAUGUGUGUGCCAUUGUAUGUGUAUGUUAUUACAUUUUGUUAAAAUAAAGUGGUAAUAAAUUCACUUAUGUACUGCAGUUUUUUUUUGUAAAUUGCAGAUGUUUUCUACUGUACAACUAAUACUUGUGUCUGUAUGGUUUGUAGAGGUUUCUAAUAUUCUAUACAACUAAAUAUGGCAACCGAAAUAUUAGAAACCUGUGUGUGAUGCGGUAUAGUUGCAGAAAAGUAAACCCUCUCUGACAGCGUUAUUAUCUUUUUGUAAACGGUACUCCCACAAUGAAAUAAAGUUUUUAUUUGUG